Papaver somniferum (opium poppy) is the source of this 571-nucleotide RNA transcript. It is a transcript of the gene named nijmegen breakage syndrome 1 protein-like, with no coding region annotated. Lineage: Eukaryota; Viridiplantae; Streptophyta; Magnoliopsida; Ranunculales; Papaveraceae. The record is from RefSeq and is a predicted model, not a curated record. The transcript has 4 exons.
UCUUACAUCACAUAGCGCCUGCAACUCCACUAAAACCCACCACCAUCACCAUCACAACAACCACCACCGCUCAGCUAGCAGAACAAGAGAGAGACAGAGUCGGGAAAUAGCUACAGAUGUCUGAUUCCAUUCUCAAAGAAUCCGUACAGGGAAUCUGAGUAUGGGAGCGAGGAAGUAGCUGAACAUGUAAAAGAAGAAAAGAAGCGGAAACAGAUGGAAGCAAUUUCUGAGGAUUUAUUCAAUAAUGAUAAGUCCCGGAGACGUGGAGCAGCUGGUACUUCUAUUCGCGAAUUGCUUACCCGUGGUUGAUGGAGUUAAACUGACUUAACAAUGUUUCGAAGUGUAAAGUAUGGUUGAUGGAGUUAAAUUGGCUUAACAAUGUUUUGCACUUCGAAGUGUAAAGUAAGCAAGAUAAGUUUUGUUACUUGUAUCUUGUAUAGUGACUGGUCUUCUUAAAACUUGUGACAAUUACCAUCGUAAUCUAACUAGCUACAUGUACUCACAUUACCAAGUUCCCAUGUUAUCAGUUUUCAUUAUGUUAUUUCCAAAUAGACGAAAUACAAAUUCUUUC